CCUAUCUCCAAACGAAACUCAUAGUAUUAACUUGAAUGCUGAAGAAAAUCAUUAUAUGGUUAAAAAUGUAGAUUUAAUAGCGAUUCCCUGGAAUAGAGAAUUUGUUAUAUAUUUGAUAAAAGCUAAUGAUGUUACAAAUUUAUUAACUGAUAUGAUCACUGAUGAUAUGGAGGUAUUUGUGCAGAAUAAAAUUUUACGCGACGGUAUUAAAAGUGGAAUUGAUGUUCUAUAUGUCAAUGAUGGAGUCUAUCAUAAAUCGACAGAGCUAAAAAUAUAUCCAUCUGAAUGUUUGCUGGGAGCAUUGGUAACACUUGUUCGGCCCCGUCAAGUUCAUGGUUUAUUAAGCGAAGGACAAUUGCCACAACACAUAGUUGACUGUUGCGUUCAACUAAAAUAAGGAUAAUGAAUUAAACCUUUUUAUUAAAUUUUGAAUUUAUUUUAUUCAUAGUAAUAUAUAAAGCCAUUCUUGGCCAAUAAAUCUUAUAUAUAAAUAGGCCACACGUUUUUUUGUGGUACACUUUUAAGUAUGUUAUUGUCCAUUAA
Molecule: long non-coding RNA, 543 nt
Organism: Calliphora vicina (urban bluebottle blowfly)
Lineage: Eukaryota; Metazoa; Arthropoda; Insecta; Diptera; Calliphoridae
Exons: 2
Source: RefSeq, a predicted model, not a curated record